UACGAGAGGCCCAAACGUUAUUCGGAUUUACUGGGCUUAAAGAGUUCGUAGGCGGUUCGACAAGUGAGGUGUGAAAUCCCUCGGCUUAACCGAGGAAUUGCGCUUCAAACUGUCGGGCUCGAGGGAGAUAGGGGUGAGCGGAACUGAUGGUGGAGCGGUGAAAUGCGUUGAUAUCAUCAGGAACACCAGAGGCGAAGGCGGCUCACUGGGUCUCUUCUGACGCUGAGGAACGAAAGCUAGGGUAGCGAACGGG
Molecule: ribosomal RNA, 253 nt
Filed under: uncultured bacterium
Lineage: Bacteria
Description: partial 16S ribosomal RNA
Rfam family: Bacterial small subunit ribosomal RNA
Source: RNAcentral